This 1783-nucleotide long non-coding RNA is filed under the name Homo sapiens (human). RNAcentral's name for it is "HSALNT0329296". The record is from RNAcentral. Lineage: Eukaryota; Metazoa; Chordata; Mammalia; Primates; Hominidae.
AAAAAAAAAGUGUAACUCUAAGUUAUAAGAACUGCAACCAAAAGCAAAAGGCUGACAAUAACUGGCUCACUUUAAGAGAAUGGUUUUGAGUCUUCUUCAUUAAUAUACUUUGGAGACCCACAGUUAUAACUUUAAUGCCCAAAUUUCAAUAGUAUCCAAAAUAAUCUCUGAGCUAGCCUUAGGAUGUUUCUUAGCUAAGCGUUAUUAGUUUGGCUGGCUCACUCUUGGACAGAAAAAAAACAUAUUUAUGGUACUCCAAAUGUAGAAAAACCCAUGGCUUUUAUUUAAUACAUUUACAGUUUCUUGAGAUUACAAAACAUUUCACAGUUUCUAUCUGUAUGUAUAUUUAAAUUUCCUCUAAAUAUCUGAAAUCACACCAUCAGAAUCUAAGUUAGAUGAGAGCAGGAACCCUGACUAUUUCACUCACGUGUGUAGAGCCAAUGUCCCGUCUCCAGAGUAAAGAUUGGAUGGAAUGCAGAAUAUUGAAAUGGAAGGCAGAAUAUUGAAAUGGAAUGCAGAAUAUUGAAAUGGAAUGUAGAAUAUUGAAUGAAUCAAUCAAAGACUUUAACACUUCCAGCUACAGGCAGCUCAUUAUGGCUCAAAGCAGCCAGGCCUCAGAGUUCUUUUUUACAAUGAUUGGACUGUCAUCUCUUCCCACUUGUUUGUUCCAGUUUUAGCUCGUCAGGUCAUGUAGAUUUACUCUACCAUAUAACAAACCUUUAAAUACCUGAACUGAUACUCAUGCCCUACUUUCUCCACCUGACCUCUGAGGUUGACUUAUUUGGAGGUUCAAGAUAAUUGACCACUAAGUCUGGUUCUGGAGAAGUUGGGUUUCCACAUGCCUUACAGUACAAGUGUGGCAAUUCAGGAGGUGAUCUAGAAGCAAGGUGUCCUUGCUCACGGAAGAAUGACAGCGGGAGAGAAGAUCGAAAUCACUGCCCAGGUUAAUAAAGCAAUAUGUGAGAUGACAGUCCAAGUUAGAAACCAGCCAAAGCUUGGAACGUGCUUCCUUGGGGAUUUCAUGUUCAUAUCAAUGACUGAUUUGGAAUUCGGAUUUGCCUUUGAAUGUUGGAGAGCAUGGAAUCAUGCAAGGAUCAGCAGACAGAUCCUGGGUGGUGAUCCGUGAUGUCCAGCUACACAAAAGAAAUGAAUGUCUUUUUUUCCCAAAAGAUGAUGUAUUACAAGAGUCACUACUAAAUCAGCAUCUACGUCAACCAAAUACAACCUCUAAAAGAAAAACAAAUAGGAUGAUAUUAAUCCUGGAGAGUUUUAUUUUGUUUAUAAUUUGGGAUAAUUAAGCUUUGAAGUUUCAUGUUUACUCUUUGAGGAAAGUGUGUCUGGGCUUUACCUCAUUUCCUCCAACCCUCUCUCCCUCUCUGCUCCAGAGACCCAGUGUUCUUUCAGCAACUUGAAAUGUGUUUUCUCUUCCACAGAGAAUAGCAAAUGCUAUUUCUACAAAUGGGAUUCUACCUCUCCCUCUCCCUCUCUUCCAGUCUCAUGUUCUGUUUCAUUUCCUCAGGGACUGCUGCUUUACGACUCCAUGGACUGGGUUGCACCCCCCAUUGCUCCCUCUGCCUUCUACUCUACUUUCCCAGUAUUCAAGACACUCAGAAUCCUCUUUAAUGCCUGUCUUUUUCUGAUUAUAAGCAACAUAAGAACCUGCCACACUGGUUUUAUUCACCAAUGGAUCUCUAGUGCCUUAUUACACAAUAAAUACUUUUUGACUAAGUAUUGUUUGAGGAAAAUGUUAUUUCCGGCACAGAGAAAAUAAUAGCAGAGGCAU